RNAcentral lists this ribosomal RNA (494 nucleotides) under uncultured bacterium. RNAcentral describes it as "partial 16S ribosomal RNA". It matches the Rfam family "Bacterial small subunit ribosomal RNA", at positions 28 to 507 of the family's 1533-position model. The record is from RNAcentral.
GACGAACGCUGGCGGCGCGCUUAACACAUGCAAGUCGAACGGAAAGGCCUGCUUUCCCUUGUGGAUUGCGGGUACUCGAGUGGCGAACGGGUGAGUAACACGUGAGUUAUCUGCCCCCAACUUGGGUAUAAGCCUGGGAAACUGGGUCUAAUUCCCGAUAGGACUGCAGGGUGGUGCCUGUGGUGGAAAACGAUUUUCUAGUGGUUGGGGAUGAGCUCGCGGCCUAUCAGCUUGUUGGUGGGGUAAUGGCCUACCAAGGCGGCGACGGGUAGCCGGCCUGGGAGGGUGGACGGCCACAUUGGGACUGAGAUACGGCCCAGACUCCUACGGGAGGCAGCAGGGGGGAAUAUUGCACAAUGGGCGGAAGCCUGAUGCAGCGACGCCGCGUGGGGGAUGACGGCCUUCGGGUUGUAAACUCCUUUCGACCGCGAGGAAGCCACCUGGUUGGAAGGGUGGUGACGGUAGUGGUAGAAGAAGCACCGGCUAACUACGUG